GGCUGCAACUCGCCUGUAUGAAGUCGGAAUUGCUAGUAAUCGCGGAUCAGCAUGCCGCGGUGAAUACGUUCCCGGGCCUUGUACACACCGCCCGUCACACCAUGAGAGCCGGGAACACCCGAAGUCCGUAGUCUAACCGCAAGGAGGACGCGGCCGAAGGUGGGUUUGGUAAUUGGGGUGAAGUCGUAACAAGGUACC
RNAcentral lists this ribosomal RNA (198 nucleotides) under uncultured bacterium. Its description in RNAcentral is "partial 16S ribosomal RNA". It matches the Rfam family "Bacterial small subunit ribosomal RNA", at positions 1303 to 1500 of the family's 1533-position model. The record is from RNAcentral.